GAUGAAGAACGUAGCGAAAUGCGAUACGUAAUGUGGAUUGCAGAAUUCAGUGAAUCAUCGAAUCUUUGAACGCAUAUUGCGCUCUCUGGUAUUCCGGAGAGCAUGCUUGUUUGAGUAUCAGUAAACACCUCAACUUCCAUAUCUUUUUUUGAAAUGGGAGUUGGACUUGAGUGAUCCCAACGCUUUUCCUCACCGAAAAGUGGCGGGUUACUUGAAAUGCAGGUGCAGCUGGACUUUUCUCUGAGCUAUAAGCAUAUCUAUUUAGUCUGCCUAAAAAACAGAUUAUUACCUUUGCUGCAGCUAACAUAAAGGAGAUUAGUUCUUGUGCUGACUGAUGCAGGAUUCACAAAGACAGCUUCGGCCGACUUUGUAAACUCGAUCUCAAAUCAAGUAAGACUACCCGCUGAACUUAAGCAUAUCAAUAAGCGGAGGA
Molecule: unclassified non-coding RNA, 433 nt
Filed under: soil metagenome
Description: partial contains 5.8S ribosomal RNA, internal transcribed spacer 2, and large subunit ribosomal RNA
Rfam family: 5.8S ribosomal RNA (bases 1-120)
Source: RNAcentral